CGAAAGCCUGACGGAGCAAUACCGCGUGAGGGAGGAAGGCUCUUGGGUUGUAAACCUCUUUUCUUAGGGAAUAACACAAUGAAGGUACCUAAGGAAUAAGCAUCGGCUAACUCCGUGCCAGCAGCCGCGGUAAUACGGAGGAUGCAAGCGUUAUCCGGAAUGAUUGGGCGUAAAGAGUCCGUAGGUGGUUUAUCAAGUCUGCUGUCAAAGAAUGAGGCUCAACCUCAUCAAGGCAGUGGAAACUGAGAGACUAGAGUGCGUUCGGGGCAGAAGGAAUUCCUGGUGUAGCGGUGAAAUGCGUAGAUAUCAGGAAGAACACCGGUGGCGAAAGCGUUCUGCUAGGCCGCAACUGACACUGAGGGACGAAAGCUAGGGGAGCG
This 380-nucleotide ribosomal RNA is filed under the name uncultured Hassallia sp. Its description in RNAcentral is "bacterial SSU rRNA". It matches the Rfam family "Bacterial small subunit ribosomal RNA", at positions 376 to 770 of the family's 1533-position model. The record is from RNAcentral. Lineage: Bacteria; Bacillati; Cyanobacteriota; Cyanophyceae; Nostocales; Tolypothrichaceae.